GAUGAACGCUGGCGGCGUGCCUAAUACAUGCAAGUCGAGCGAACGGACGAGAAGCUUGCUUCUCUGAUGUUAGCGGCGGACGGGUGAGUAACACGUGGAUAACCUACCUAUAAGACUGGGAUAACUUCGGGAAACCGGAGCUAAUACCGGAUGAUAUUUUGAACCGCAUGGUUCAAAAGUGAAAGACGGUCUUGCUGUCACUUAUAGAUGGAUCCGCGCUGCAUUAGCUAGUUGGUAAGGUAACGGCUUACCAAGGCAACGAUGCAUAGCCGACCUGAGAGGGUGAUCGACCACACUGGAACUGAGACACGGUCCAGACUCCUACGGGAGGCAGCAGUAGGGAAUCUUCCGCAAUGGGCGAAAGCCUGACGGAGCAACGCCGCGUGAGUGAUGAAGGUCUUCGGAUCGUAAAACUCUGUUAUUAGGGAAGAACAUAUGUGUAAGUAACUGUGCACAUCUUGACGGUACCUAAUCAGAAAGCCAGGGCUAACUACGUG
Molecule: ribosomal RNA, 497 nt
Filed under: uncultured bacterium
Lineage: Bacteria
Description: partial 16S ribosomal RNA
Rfam family: Bacterial small subunit ribosomal RNA
Source: RNAcentral